UGUGCAUUCUGUUGAGUAAGCGCAUAAACUCUUCCUUGGGUUUUAGAAAUCUGUCCACCACCCUUAUGUUGUCCUUCAUGAGUUCUUUGGCCAACUUGAUUUUCAGUAUUUAGCGAGCAGCUAGCAAUUUUAUGAUUCUUCUGACCACAUUUGAAACAAGCACCUGUAUUUCAAUAGCAAUCCUUGUCUGCAUGAUUUUUG
Molecule: long non-coding RNA, 201 nt
Filed under: Elaeis guineensis (African oil palm)
Lineage: Eukaryota; Viridiplantae; Streptophyta; Magnoliopsida; Arecales; Arecaceae
Description: long non-coding RNA (EGUI_LNC042249)
Source: RNAcentral